AAAUCAAAGGAAAGAGCCCUAAAGAAAAGAAAAACAUUGCAGCAGGGAGAAACACCACACACAUUGAUUUCUCUUUCCCUUGCUAUCCCUUUUUUGUUCGUUCUUUUAUUUUG
Molecule: non-coding RNA, 113 nt
Filed under: Chromera velia
Lineage: Eukaryota; Chromeraceae
Source: RNAcentral